AUGGCACGUCCAAUAACAUUUGUAUUCCGGAAACUGAAGCAUUUGUUACUAAUAACAUAUGUCGUUGCGCUGGUUGGCCUCGUCGGCGCUUCCACCACAGGCAGCUGCAGGGAGACCGACACCACCGUCUACGUGGUCUCCCUCAUUGGCGCCGUUCUAGCAUACAUCCUGCUCCAUGGCUUCUGCAGUUCAGCAACCAAAUUCUUUUCAUGUUGUUCCAGUCCAGCCGAACAACCUGAUCAAAAUAAGCACACUGAUGAGAAUAAUGUCAGUGCUAAGGAGGCUCUGGACAAGGCUCGCUCUCUUCUUCUACUGCUCGGCGCUCUUGCCGCCACCAUCACCUAUACAACGGGGUUGAACCCGCCAGGUGGCCUUUGGCAGGAUAACAACGACGGGCACACGGCUGGCGACCCGAUUCUCCUCACAACGAACAUUGCAAUGUACAGGGCCUUCUACUACUGCAACUCGGUUGCGUUUGUGGCGUCCUUGGUGGCCAUCGUCCUUGUCCAGAAGGAGAAGCUGGUCAAGCACCACGCUCUGGAGGCAGCCUGA
This 552-nucleotide ribosomal RNA is filed under the name Triticum aestivum (bread wheat). Its description in RNAcentral is "partial small subunit ribosomal RNA". The record is from RNAcentral. Lineage: Eukaryota; Viridiplantae; Streptophyta; Magnoliopsida; Poales; Poaceae.